CCUGGGACACACAGAUAGAGUUGGUCUGUGAGAGCAAGAAGAUCAGCAAAGGGUUUCUCCUGGAGUCCCAUAAACAUCCCAGGCACUCACAAAAUCCUGCAAAUUUGGGACUUUCAACAAGACCAGUACCUUCCUGGUUUCCAGGCCAAGGCAAAUGAUGUAAUACAUACCAGGAGUCUUCAAAAGAGGAUGAGGGGCUUUCUCAGCUAAACACAACCCCCUGCCUGCACGUCUGAGCUAAGGGUAGAUGGAUUACAGGAAGUAAAUAUUACAGUACAUGAACUAUCUGUCCUUACUCAAGAUGGCUACAGACAGAAAU
Molecule: long non-coding RNA, 319 nt
Organism: Rana temporaria (common frog)
Lineage: Eukaryota; Metazoa; Chordata; Amphibia; Anura; Ranidae
Exons: 3
Source: RefSeq, a predicted model, not a curated record